UUCAAGUUAGAGCUUGGUAGAAAGCGCUUCAUUUACACUGGAGAGGGUUAUCGUGCAAUUCGAUUAAUUUGAU
RNAcentral lists this transfer RNA (73 nucleotides) under Stylogomphus shirozui. Its description in RNAcentral is "tRNA-Val". It matches the Rfam family "tRNA". Rfam says of the family: Transfer RNA (tRNA) molecules are approximately 80 nucleotides in length. Their secondary structure includes four short double-helical elements and three loops (D, anti-codon, and T loops). The record is from RNAcentral. Lineage: Eukaryota; Metazoa; Arthropoda; Insecta; Odonata; Gomphidae.